CUCAGUCAUCUUCACUUAGGCUAUUUCUUUUUAAGUCAUAGCUUCUAUCAAGAGCUCUUGUUUUAUAGUAAGGGGAGAGUCUCCCUCAUUUAUGUUUUUCCUAGAAUCUUUGUAUUGAGAGGAGUCCUCUCGUAUAGGUGCUUAGAUGAUAGGUUUCCAUUUUAGUACGGGGAAGAGUUGGAGAACCUUAGUAGGCUACCAACUCUUGAACCUCCAUAGGUUGGAGGUAAGGUUUAAGCCCCCCUCCUUGUAUUUUGCUUUGUUUGAUCUAUGAUAAGGCCUGG
This 284-nucleotide long non-coding RNA is filed under the name Solanum tuberosum (potato). RNAcentral describes it as "long non-coding RNA (STUB_LNC004749)". The record is from RNAcentral. Lineage: Eukaryota; Viridiplantae; Streptophyta; Magnoliopsida; Solanales; Solanaceae.